GGGUCAGUAGGUUGGUCGUGCCACCGGUACGUACUGGUCUCACUGAUUCCUCCUUCCUGAAGAACCGUAGUGCCAUUAAUUUGGUGUUGCGGGGAAACAGGACUGUUACUUUGAAAAAAUUAGAGUGUUUUAAGCAAGCUAACGCUUGAAUACAUUAGCAUGGAAUAAUGAAAUAGGACGAUCGAUCCUAUUUUGUUGGUUUCUAGGAUUGACGUA
This 216-nucleotide ribosomal RNA is filed under the name Glomeromycotina sp. RNAcentral's name for it is "partial small subunit ribosomal RNA". The stretch from base 40 to 216 matches the Rfam family "Eukaryotic small subunit ribosomal RNA", at positions 686 to 864 of the family's 1831-position model. Lineage: Eukaryota; Fungi; Glomeromycota. The record is from RNAcentral.